This 330-nucleotide ribosomal RNA is filed under the name uncultured Actinomycetes bacterium. RNAcentral describes it as "bacterial SSU rRNA". It matches the Rfam family "Bacterial small subunit ribosomal RNA", at positions 28 to 351 of the family's 1533-position model. Lineage: Bacteria; Bacillati; Actinomycetota; Actinomycetes. The record is from RNAcentral.
GACAAACGCUGGCGGCGUGCCUAACACAUGCAAGUCGAGCGCGAAAGGGACUUCGGUCCCGAGUAGAGCGGCGAACGGGUGAGUAACACGUGGGCAACCUGCCUCAAGGACUGGGAUAACUCCGUGAAAACGGGGCUAAUACCGGGCGAUGUCGUCGAGCGCAAGCUCGCCGACCAAAUGGUAGCUUCGGCCUCCGCCUUGAGAUGGGCCCGCGUCCUAUCAGCUAGUUGGUGAGGUAACGGCUCACCAAGGCUUCGACGGGUAGCUGGUCUGAGAGGAUGAUCAGCCACACUGGGACUGAGAUACGGCCCAGACUCCUACGGGUGGCAG